This 73-nucleotide transfer RNA is filed under the name Canis lupus familiaris (dog). It matches the Rfam family "tRNA". Rfam says of the family: Transfer RNA (tRNA) molecules are approximately 80 nucleotides in length. The record is from Rfam by way of RNAcentral. Lineage: Eukaryota; Metazoa; Chordata; Mammalia; Carnivora; Canidae. RNAcentral also lists the same sequence under 1 other name.
ACCUGGCUGGCUCAGUUGGGGGAGCAUUUGACUCCUGAUCUUGGGGUGAUGAGUUCGAGCCCCAUGUUGGGUG